Molecule: ribosomal RNA, 777 nt
Filed under: uncultured Neocallimastigales
Lineage: Eukaryota; Fungi; Neocallimastigomycota; Neocallimastigomycetes; Neocallimastigales
Description: partial large subunit ribosomal RNA
Rfam family: Eukaryotic large subunit ribosomal RNA
Source: RNAcentral
AGAGAGAGACAUGCGCGCAUAUCAAUAAGCGGAGGAAAAGAAACUAACUAAGGAUUCCCUCAGUAACGGCGAGUGAAGCGGGAAGAGCUCAAAUUUGAAAUCUUCAAGGUUUCUACCUUGACGAAUUGUAGUUUAAAGAAGUGUUUUCUGUUGAAGUUUUGGUAAGAGUUCUUUGGAAUAGGACAUCAUAGAGGGUGAGAAUCCCGUAUUUGACCAUUAUUUUCAGCUUUGUGAUACACUUUCAAAGAGUCGGAUUGUUUGGGAAUGCAGUCCAAAAUGGGUGGUAAAUUUCAUCUAAAGCUAAAUAUUGGCGAGAGACCGAUAGCGAACAAGUACCGUGAGGGAAAGAUGAAAAGGAACUUUGAAAAGAGAGUUAAACAGUACGUGAAAUUGUCAAAAGGGAAGCGUUUGACACCAGUGUUGUUUUCUCGAAAAUCAAUUAAAAAUGGCUCGAUUUUGUAUUGUUGAGACCUUAAAAGCUCACUGUACAUUUUUCGUGUCUUUUUUAAUGCACUUUUCGUUUAACAAGUCAACAUCAGUUUCUUUUGUUGUAAAAGGGUCAUUGGAAGGUGGCUUUCUUUUCGGAGAAAGUGUUUAUAGCCUUUGGCCUCUGCAAUCGAAGAGACUGAGGUCUGCAGCGUAGACUCUUCGGGGUUAGAUACAUUUGUGCUAAGUUAUAGCUUUUUAUAGACAACUUGUUGACUAUAAUUAGUCUUGUAGCUUACUCGCUUAUGCUAUUUUACCUACGCUUAGGAUGUUGAAGAUGUAGCACAUCAU